Molecule: signal recognition particle RNA, 109 nt
Filed under: Campylobacter rectus
Lineage: Bacteria; Pseudomonadati; Campylobacterota; Epsilonproteobacteria; Campylobacterales; Campylobacteraceae
Description: bacterial signal recognition particle RNA (4.5S RNA)
Rfam family: Bacterial small signal recognition particle RNA (bases 6-103)
About the family: The signal recognition particle (SRP) is a universally conserved ribonucleoprotein involved in the co-translational targeting of proteins to membranes. Archaeal SRP consists of a 7S RNA and homologues of the eukaryotic SRP19 and SRP54 proteins.
Source: RNAcentral
GCCCUUUCUUAGACCUGUGCAACGUCUCUUCUAGGCACCGCUUCAGGGUGGGAACACAGCAGAGCACUUAGGCUAGGCGUGUGCCGCAGUCAUCUGAGAGAGGGUUUUU